This 226-nucleotide unclassified non-coding RNA is filed under the name Hevea brasiliensis (rubber tree). Lineage: Eukaryota; Viridiplantae; Streptophyta; Magnoliopsida; Malpighiales; Euphorbiaceae. The record is from RNAcentral.
ACAGCAGCCUCCACGUGACCACUGCAUAGCAUAUAAAUUAAUACUUCCAUUGCUGAAAAAAGCAAUAUUCUAUAGCCCAACAGCAACAGCAUUCAAAUCAUUGGUUGAAUUCUAACCUUAUUCUUUCCCUACAAUCUGGGAUUAAAUAUGAACAGUUUUAAGCUAUACCAAGGAAAAAGGGGAAAAAAGAAAAAGAAGGGGAGGGAGAAGGAGAGAAGGGGAAAAA